Molecule: regulatory RNA element, 80 nt
Organism: Paenibacillus sp. FSL H7-0737
Lineage: Bacteria; Bacillati; Bacillota; Bacilli; Caryophanales; Paenibacillaceae
Rfam family: c-di-GMP-I-GGC riboswitch aptamer
Source: Rfam
AAUUGAAAAGGCAAACCUAUCGAAAGGUAGGGACGCAAAGCUAUAGGGCCUUCGAAAGAGUGGCAGCCUGGCUACCGAAA